RNAcentral lists this ribosomal RNA (310 nucleotides) under uncultured bacterium. RNAcentral describes it as "bacterial SSU rRNA". It matches the Rfam family "Bacterial small subunit ribosomal RNA", at positions 29 to 351 of the family's 1533-position model. The record is from RNAcentral.
AAUGAACGUUGGCGGCGUGGAUUAGGCAUGCAAGUCGCGCGACAAGGAACCUUCGGGUUCUGGAGGAGCGGCAAACGGGGUAGUAAGGCAUCGGAACGUACCCUCUUGUUGGGAAUAGCCGCGGGAAACUGCGAGUAAUGCCCAAUAAUCCCUACGGGGCAAAGGUCCGCCGCAGGAGGAGCGGCCGAUGUGAUACCAGCUAGUUGGUGAGGUAAUGGCUCACCAAGGCUUAGACGUCUAGGGGGUGUGAGAGCAUGGGCCCCCACCACUGGACGUGAGAUACUGCCCACGANACCUACCGGGUGGGCUG